GGAAGCACAAAUAAGUUUGCUAAUUUUGUCAACAAAAACGUGGUUGGCAAUAUCAAAGGGUUUUGUUAUGAAUGAGCUAUCAGCCUCAAUGAAGGAUGGAGCCGAAUUAGCUUUAAUGCCUAGAAUUUUAUUUAAGCACUCGAGAUUUUAUUAUAAUUAAUAAAUUAUAUCUUAUUUCCAUUGUAUAGUUUCUUCUUGUUUUUGUUUAGUUUAGUUACGUGAUUUGUCAAUUUACUGUAUGGUUGCCAAUCUGCUGUGUUGCCAGACUUAUUUUCCAUUCCCUUAGUGUACAGGCAAAAAACCUCACUCCUGUUUGGACCUUCAGGUGCCUCUUCAGAUGGUGCUGGUGUAAGGACAGAAGCUGGGAGACGAGAAACAAGUGCAGUUUCCAUGUCUUCUCCCUGGACGACCUCAAUGUUCACCUCUUGAACAUCAGACUCUGAGGCCUCAUCUUCACUGUCACCUUUUAACCUUGUUGAGGAUGGCUCGUUGUCAGACUCAAAAAGGCUACAAUUUGCCCGGAUGGCCACCAAUUUUUCAACCCUUGUAUUGGACAACCUGUUGCGUGCUUUGGUGUGUGUGUUCCCAAACAAGGACCAGUUGGGCUCCGAGGUGGAUGAUGUUGGUGGGAUUUGGAGGAGGAUGGAGGCAACAGGGGAAAGAGCGUCAGAUCCACAAAAUCCCUUCCACCAGGUGUCUGAUGAGAUAUGUUGCCACGACUGCCAUAUUGCAUCUCCAUGCCAAAGCUCUUGCUUGAAAGUGUUGUAGUAAAACGCCAAAUGGAUCUACCUCCUGGUCCUCUUCCCCUGUCUUACCCACCAAGGGUAGAGACAGAGAUGACCUCGCCUACUGAAAUACCGGAUUGGGCAAAGCCACCAGAGGAUGACUCAAGCCAACCAACUACUGAACCUGACUGGUGUCAGGAAGAAUCACCCUCUGCCUCAAGUGACACCUCUGAAUGGGAACAGCUGAUAGACUCAUUGUUGCUAGAGUAAUGGGCUUUGUCAUAACCAGAGGCCCAUAUAUGCACUGAAAGACAAGUAUUUCCUCAUUGUUGCUAGAGUAAUGGGCUUUGUCAUAACCAGAGGCCCAUAUAUGCACUGAAAGAAAAGUAUUUCCUGUUGUAAGAUAUGUCAUCACCCUCUCUGCUCUGAGGGAAUGGGAGGAGCAGCAGAUCGGGUGCAGAGAAUCAAAAGGUAUAUAAAGAGACAUUUGCCAUUACUUUGGUGCUGACUUCUUGAAUUCUGAAUUCAUUUAGGCAACCAUUUGACUUCAGGUAAUUGCCACCUGACUCAAAUUACUUAAAGAUUCUAACUUGCUGGAUACCAGGGUAAGAGUCUGUUUACCUAUCGACCAGUUGACCCUGUGUGCAGCAUACCGUUGGACCGAGUGUACCGUUGUGCCAAAGUCUUAAUUGACCAGGAACACUGUAGCACCGGCCGGGUUGCUUGCCCCAGACACUGCGGUAGAUCAACGGCAGAAUUACCACCUGCUGAGAACGGUUGGAAAGUUGUUCGAAUCGACUCUGUCUCCGACUGACCCAGUGACACGUGUACUGUUGUAGCACAGUGCCUUGCCCUGGAAUCGCGGUUGCAGGUUAUUUGACAAUACUAUCCAGCCUGAGGGCAGGUUAGAGUACUCAGGCUAACUUGAAUCUCGAAAUUUAGUUGAACCAAUGAUUCCUCAUGGGAGAGAUCGAUACAUAAACUAAAUUCUCAGAACUCUGAUCGAUUGAAACUCUGCUCCUGAUCUCGUGGGUCUCCUCGUCAUCUCUCAAAUUUAAUUAAAUAACUAUUAUAAGCAUUUAAUAUAGAGAUAAGUGUUAUCAUUGUACCAGGCAUUUUAUAGAGCAUUAAGGCAAUUGCAUGUUUUUGAUUAACGCUGUGUGUGACCGAGUAACAAUUGUGUAUUUUGAAGUGUGUUUGAUUGUAAGACAAAAAACAGAGUGUUUUCAAAAAUAAACGGUAGUCUUAUUU
Long non-coding RNA from Oncorhynchus keta (chum salmon), 1976 nucleotides. RefSeq lists it as uncharacterized. NCBI's taxonomy places the organism in Eukaryota, Metazoa, Chordata, Actinopteri, Salmoniformes, Salmonidae. The transcript has 2 exons. The record is from RefSeq and is a predicted model, not a curated record.